GAUGAACGCUAGCGAUAGGCUUAACACAUGCAAGUCGAGGGGCAGCAUGGUCUUAGCUUGCUAAGACUGAUGGCGACCGGCGCACGGGUGCGUAACGCGUAUGCAACUUGCCUCACAGAGGGGGAUAACCCGUCGAAAGACGGACUAAUACCGCGUACACUUGGGAUAGGGCAUCCUGACCCAAGGAAAUGAAAUUCGCUGUGAGAUAGGCAUGCGUCCCAUUAGCUAGUUGGUGAGGUAACGGCUCACCAAGGCGACGAUGGGUAGGGGAACUGAGAGGUUGAACCCCCACACUGGUACUGAGACACGGACCAGACUCCUACGGGAGGCAGCAGUGAGGAAUAUUGGUCAAUGGGCGAGAGCCUGAACCAGCCAAGUCGCGUGAAGGAUGACUGUCUUAUGGAUGGUAAACUUCUUUUAUACGGGAAUAACAAGAGUCACGUGUGGCUCCCUGCAUGUACCGUAUGAAUAAGCAUCGGCUAACUCCGUG
This 490-nucleotide ribosomal RNA is filed under the name uncultured bacterium. RNAcentral describes it as "partial 16S ribosomal RNA". It matches the Rfam family "Bacterial small subunit ribosomal RNA", at positions 28 to 507 of the family's 1533-position model. The record is from RNAcentral.